RNAcentral lists this unclassified non-coding RNA (1342 nucleotides) under Hevea brasiliensis (rubber tree). The record is from RNAcentral. Lineage: Eukaryota; Viridiplantae; Streptophyta; Magnoliopsida; Malpighiales; Euphorbiaceae.
CUAGAGGAAUUAGAGAAGAGAAAUAGUGUAAUGGCUCACGUGUAAUGGGCUAAGAGUUUUGGACAGCAGAGCAAAAGAGUGCUUUAUAAUAGAUUAGUUUCUUCCUAUAAAAUGGUGUAGCAUCGCUAAGUGAGAAAAAUCGGUUUGGUUUGGUUAGUUAGAUUUUUUUACUGAAUUAACCAAACCAAAUAACCGAAAUAUUUUUAAAAAAGAAACUGAAACUGAGCAGAUUAACCAAAAAAUCGAACCAAAAAACCGAAUUAAAUUGGUUUGAUUCGAUUUUUCGGUUAAAACUGAUAAGUGCUCACCCCCAAGAUAUUUGACCUUCUAAAGUAGUUAGUUUUGAUAAGUCUUCUUGAUUGCAAGUGACCAUCAAGCACCAGACUAGAGACCAACUUUGUUUGAAAUUUCUCAAGAAUAUAAUUCCUUUCGCAUUCAUUAUUUCCAUUAUUAUUGGUAACAGGGCAUUGCAACGAGACUAUAAUAUGUGUUCAAAACUUACUAGUUGUGGAAAAGAAUACUAAUGAAACCUGACCAUUGCAUCUUGUAUUUCCUUAUUACCUCCAUACCUGUAUCAAGCACUGUCUUAUAAAGGAAAUGUUGUAAUUCAAUGUGUAUAUAUUAUUCUCCAACUGAUCAGCCAUGUUUGAAUUGUUGGAAAUUGGUUGGGAAUUAAUAUGAGAUUUUCAUGGAAUGGACACACAUGAAGUUUUUAACAAUGUUAUUUGCCCGUUUUUAACAAUGUUCUUCGCCCAUGCUUAGUGGGAAGGCUGCAGAUCUUUUUAAUAUUGGUUGCAGUAGGGUUUACUAAUAACAGAAAGAGGACAGGAUGUGACAAGCAAGAUGGGCAUUGGGAUUCUCUAAGGCAUUUGACAGUUGUAAAGAGAGCUGGGAAAAAUGUCAUUUCUCCAAGAGAAUAGUCUAUAAGAUGUUCAAAGGUUUUCCAUUGACAAUCACAAUGGUUAAUAUUAUAAUUAUUGCAAUAGGCAUCGUGCAGGUGGGCAAUGCCAUGUGUAGAUAAACUGAUAUGGAAGUUUAUAAUGAUAGUGCUAAUGGUUAUAAUUGAAAAAUGAAGUGUUUGGGUGCUUUAAAUUAUGCUAUGUGUCUAGUGGUGAUUCACCAUAGUUGUUGGAUUGCUGGUUGCUUUAAACUGGUUUUGAUAAACCUAGGAAACGAUACUGAUCCUCGCUGGUGGAUAUUGGAUGAUAACAUGUGGUAAUUGAAUAUUUUUUCCUUUGAGUGUGUUCUGGUCUAUAAUAAUUCUUUGAGAGUGUUGUUUAUAUGCUUGUAUUGUUUACUUGUAUUGCUACUGCUUUUACAGUAGAGGAGGUUCAAAUUUUUG